AAGUCGUAACAAGGUCUCCGUUGGUGAACCAGCGGAGGGAUCAUUACUGAGCGUAAAAACUCCAAACCCACUGUGAACCUACCUAAAACGUUGCCUCGGCGCGCUCCCCAGGGACCGCGCCGGGGGACCCGAACUCUUGUUUCCAGCAGAGGAUCUUCUGAGUGGCUUAAAGCAAAAAUAAGUUAAAACUUUCAACAACGGAUCUCUUGGCUCUGGCAUCGAUGAAGAACGCAGCAAAAUGCGAUAAGUAAUGUGAAUUGCAGAAUUCCGUGAAUCAUCGAAUCUUUGAACGCACAUUGCGCCCGCCAGCACUCUGGCGGGCAUGCCUGUUCGAGCGUCAUUUCAACCCUCGGACCCCUUAGGCCUCGCGCCCCAGGGGACCGGUGUUGGGGCUCGGGCGCUCCCAUCGGGCGCCCGUCCCCUAAAUCCAGUGGCGGUCGCGACCCGGCAGCCCCGCGUAGUAGCACACCUCGCGGGACGCGCCGGCCGUGGCCACGCCGUAAAACCACCCACUUUCAAAGGUUGACCUCGGAUCAGGUAGGAAUACCCGCUGAACUUAA
RNAcentral lists this ribosomal RNA (560 nucleotides) under uncultured fungus. RNAcentral describes it as "eukaryotic LSU rRNA". The stretch from base 187 to 340 matches the Rfam family "5.8S ribosomal RNA". The record is from RNAcentral. Lineage: Eukaryota; Fungi.